AUUGAACGCUGGCGGCAGGCCUAACACAUGCAAGUCGAGCGGAUGAAGGGAGCUUGCUCCUGGAUUCAGCGGCGGACGGGUGAGUAAUGCCUAGGAAUCUGCCUGGUAGUGGGGGAUAACGUCCGGAAACGGGCGCUAAUACCGCAUACGUCCUGAGGGAGAAAGUGGGGGAUCUUCGGACCUCACGCUAUCAGAUGAGCCUAGGUCGGAUUAGCUAGUUGGUGGGGUAAAGGCCUACCAAGGCGACGAUCCGUAACUGGUCUGAGAGGAUGAUCAGUCACACUGGAACUGAGACACGGUCCAGACUCCUACGGGAGGCAGCAGUGGGGAAUAUUGGACAAUGGGCGAAAGCCUGAUGCAGCCAUGCCGCGUGUGUGAAGAAGGUCUUCGGAUUGUAAAGCACUUUUAGUUGGGAGGAAGGGCAGUAAGUUAAUACCUUGCUGUUUUGACGUUACCAACAGAAUAAGCACCGGCUAACUUCGUG
RNAcentral lists this ribosomal RNA (484 nucleotides) under uncultured bacterium. RNAcentral describes it as "partial 16S ribosomal RNA". It matches the Rfam family "Bacterial small subunit ribosomal RNA", at positions 30 to 507 of the family's 1533-position model. The record is from RNAcentral.